This 750-nucleotide ribosomal RNA is filed under the name uncultured archaeon. RNAcentral's name for it is "bacterial SSU rRNA". It matches the Rfam family "Archaeal small subunit ribosomal RNA", at positions 170 to 922 of the family's 1478-position model. The record is from RNAcentral.
CUGGAAUGGCUUAUGGUCUAAGCAGUUUACUGCCAUGGGAUGGGACUGCGGCCUAUCAGCUUGUUGGUGAGGUAAUGGCCCACCAAGGCUAUAACAGGUACGGGCUCUGAGAGGAGAAGCCCGGAGAUGGGUACUGAGACACGGACCCAGGCCCUAUGGGGCGCAGCAGGCGAGAAACCUUAGCAAUGUGUGAAAGCACGACUGGGUCAGUCCGAGUGAUUCCUGAUAAAGGAGUCUUUUAUCUGUCCUAAAAGCACAGGUGAAUAAGGGGUGGGCAAGUCUGGUGUCAGCCGCCGCGGUAAUACCAGCACCUCGAGUGGUCAGGACGUUUAUUGGGCCUAAAGCAUCCGUAGCCGGCUUUGCAAGUCUUCGGUUAAAUCCACCUGCUCAACAGAUGGGCUGCUGGAGAUACUACAAAGCUAGGGAGUGGGAGAGGCAGACGGUAUUCAGUGGGUAGGGGUAAAAUCCUCUGAUCCAUCGAGGACCACCAGUGGCGAAGGCGGUCUGCCAGAACACGUUCGACGGUGAGGGAUGAAAGCUGGGGGAGCAAACCGGAUUAGAUACCCGGGUAGUCCCAGCUGUAAACGAUGCAAACUCGGUGAUGCAUUGGCUUACGACCAAUGCAGUGCCGCAGGGAAGCCGUUAAGUUUGCCGCCUGGGAAGUACGGACGCAAGUCUGAAACUUAAAGGAAUUGGCGGGGGAGCACCACAAGGGGUGAAGCCUGCGGUUCAAUUGGACUCAACGCCGGU